GGUUAAGCGACUAAGCGUACACGGUGGAUGCCCUGGCAGUCAGAGGCGAUGAAGGACGUGCUAAUCUGCGAAAAGCGCCGGCGAGGUGAUAUGAACCUUUGACCCGGCGAUGUCCGAAUGGGGAAACCCAGUGCAAUUCGUUGCACUAUCGUUAACUGAAUACAUAGGUUAACGAGGCGAACCGGGGGAACUGAAACAUCUAAGUACCCCGAGGAAAAGAAAUCAACCGAGAUUCCCCCAGUAGCGGCGAGCGAACGGGGAGCAGCCCAGAGUCUGAAUCAGCUUGUGUGUUAGUGGAAGCGUCUGGAAAGUCGCACGGUACAGGGUGACAGUCCCGUACACGAAAGCACACAGGCUGUGAACUCGAAGAGUAGGGCGGGACACGUGGUAUCCUGUCUGAAUAUGGGGGGACCAUCCUCCAAGGCUAAAUACUCCUGACUGACCGAUAGUGAACCAGUACCGUGAGGGAAAGGCGAAAAGAACCCCGGCGAGGGGAGUGAAAAAGAACCUGAAACCGUGUACGUACAAGCAGUGGGAGCACCNNNNNNGGGAAAGGCGAAAAGAACCCCGGCGAGGGGAGUGAAAAAGAACCUGAAACCGUGUACGUACAAGCAGUGGGAGCACCCUUGUGGUGUGACUGCGUACCUUUUGUAUAAUGGGUCAGCGACUUAUAUUCUGUAGCAAGGUUAACCGUAUAGGGGAGCCGAAGGGAAACCGAGUCUUAACUGGGCGUUAAGUUGCAGGGUAUAGACCCGAAACCCGGUGAUCUAGCCAUGGGCAGGUUGAAGGUUGGGUAACACUAACUGGAGGACCGAACCGACUAAUGUUGAAAAAUUAGCGGAUGACUUGUGGCUGGGGGUGAAAGGCCAAUCAAACCGGGAGAUAGCUGGUUCUCCCCGAAAGCUAUUUAGGUAGCGCCUCGUGAACUCAUCUUCGGGGGUAGAGCACUGUUUCGGCUAGGGGGCCAUCCCGGCUUACCAACCCGAUGCAAACUACGAAUACCGAAGAAUGUUAUCACGGGAGACACACGGCGGGUGCUAACGUCCGUCGUGAAGAGGGAAACAACCCAGACCGCCAGCUAAGGUCCCAAAGUCAUGGUUAAGUGGGAAACGAUGUGGGAAGGCACAGACAGCCAGGAUGUUGGCUUAGAAGCAGCCAUCAUUUAAAGAAAGCGUAAUAGCUCACUGGUCGAGUCGGCCUGCGCGGAAGAUGUAACGGGGCUAAACCAUGCACCGAAGCUGCGGCAGCGACGCUUAGGCGUUGUUGGGUAGGGGAGCGUUCUGUAAGCCGUUGAAGGUGUCCUGUGAGGGGUGCUGGAGGUAUCAGAAGUGCGAAUGCUGACAUAAGUAACGAUAAAGCGGGUGAAAAGCCCGCUCGCCGGAAGACCAAGGGUUCCUGUCCAACGUUAAUCGGGGCAGGGUGAGUCGACCCCUAAGGCGAGGCCGAAAGGCGUAGUCGAUGGGAAACAGGUUAAUAUUCCUGUACUUGGUGUUACUGCGAAGGGGGGACGGAGAAGGCUAUGUUAGCCGGGCGACGGUUGUCCCGGUUUAAGCAUGUAGGCGGAGGUUCCAGGUAAAUCCGGUACCUUUUAACGCUGAGGUGUGAUGACGAGGCACUACGGUGCUGAAGUAACAAAUGCCCUGCUUCCAGGAAAAGCCUCUAAGCAUCAGGUAACAUCAAAUCGUACCCCAAACCGACACAGGUGGUCAGGUAGAGAAUACCAAGGCGCUUGAGAGAACUCGGGUGAAGGAACUAGGCAAAAUGGUGCCGUAACUUCGGGAGAAGGCACGCUGAUAUGUAGGUGAAGCCCCUGCGGGUGGAGCUGAAAUCAGUCGAAGAUACCAGCUGGCUGCAACUGUUUAUUAAAAACACAGCACUGUGCAAACACGAAAGUGGACGUAUACGGUGUGACGCCUGCCCGGUGCCGGAAGGUUAAUUGAUGGGGUUAGCGGCAACGCGAAGCUCUUGAUCGAAGCCCCGGUAAACGGCGGCCGUAACUAUAACGGUCCUAAGGUAGCGAAAUUCCUUGUCGGGUAAGUUCCGACCUGCACGAAUGGCGUAAUGAUGGCCAGGCUGUCUCCACCCGAGACUCAGUGAAAUUGAACUCGCUGUGAAGAUGCAGUGUACCCGCGGCAAGACGGAAAGACCCCGUGAACCUUUACUAUAGCUUGACACUGAACACUGGUCCUUGAUGUGUAGGAUAGGUGGGAGGCUUUGAAGCGUGGACGCCAGUCUGCGUGGAGCCGACCUUGAAAUACCACCCUUUAAUGGCUGGUGUUCUAACGUAGACCCGUAAUCCGGGUUGCGGACAGUGUCUGGUGGGUAGUUUGACUGGGGCGGUCUCCUCCCAAAGAGUAACGGAGGAGCACGAAGGUUAGCUAAUCCUGGUCGGACAUCAGGAGGUUAGUGCAAUGGCAUAAGCUAGCUUGACUGCGAGAGUGACGGCUCGAGCAGGUGCGAAAGCAGGUCAUAGUGAUCCGGUGGUUCUGAAUGGAAGGGCCAUCGCUCAACGGAUAAAAGGUACUCCGGGGAUAACAGGCUGAUACCGCCCAAGAGUUCAUAUCGACGGCGGUGUUUGGCACCUCGAUGUCGGCUCAUCACAUCCUGGGGCUGAAGUAGGUCCCAAGGGUAUGGCUGUUCGCCAUUUAAAGUGGUACGCGAGCUGGGUUUAGAACGUCGUGAGACAGUUCGGUCCCUAUCUGCCGUGGGCGCUGGAGAAUUGAGGGGGGCUGCUCCUAGUACGAGAGGACCGGAGUGGACGCAUCACUGGUGUUCGGGUUGUCAUGCCAAUGGCACUGCCCGGUAGCUAAAUGCGGAAAAGAUAAGUGCUGAAAGCAUCUAAGCACGAAACUUGCCCCGAGAUGAGUUCUCCCUGACCCUUUAAGGGUCCUGAAGGAACGUUGAAGACUACGACGUUGAUAGGUCGGGUGUGUAAGCGCAGCGAUGCGUUGAGCUAACCGAUACUAAUGAACCGUGAGGCUUAACCUU
RNAcentral lists this ribosomal RNA (2988 nucleotides) under Enterobacter asburiae. RNAcentral's name for it is "23S ribosomal RNA". It matches the Rfam family "Bacterial large subunit ribosomal RNA". The record is from RNAcentral. Lineage: Bacteria; Pseudomonadati; Pseudomonadota; Gammaproteobacteria; Enterobacterales; Enterobacteriaceae.